UACAGAGGGUGCAAGCGUUAAUCGGAAUUACUGGGCGUAAAGCGUGCGUAGUCGGUUAUUUAAGUCGGGUGUGAAAGCCCCGGGCUCAACCUGGGAAUUGCAUUCGAUACUGGAUAGCUAGAGUUCGGCAGAGGGAAGCGGAAUUUCCGGUGUAGCGGUGAAAUGCGUAGAUAUCGGAAGGAACAUCAGUGGCGAAAGCGGCUCCUCGGACCAGAACUGACGAUCAGGCACGAAAGCGUGGGGAGCAACAGGAUUAGAAUACCCUU
RNAcentral lists this ribosomal RNA (266 nucleotides) under uncultured bacterium. Its description in RNAcentral is "partial 16S ribosomal RNA". It matches the Rfam family "Bacterial small subunit ribosomal RNA", at positions 524 to 789 of the family's 1533-position model. The record is from RNAcentral.